This 1372-nucleotide long non-coding RNA is filed under the name Marmota monax (woodchuck). The record is from RNAcentral. Lineage: Eukaryota; Metazoa; Chordata; Mammalia; Rodentia; Sciuridae.
GAAAUGUUAAGUUGAUACUUCACUUCUGUUCAUGUUCAUUUGGUGGUAACAGGCAUGUGGCUACAUGCAGCUUCAAGUGGUGGUCAGGAAAUACAGAUUUAGCAGAGCAGGUAUUGUUUAGUGUUGGGGUUUGGCAUUCCCCUAUACCAGUUGUCCUAUUCAUUCUCAGGUUGGACACUUGAGUGAUGCUGGAGUGACCCACAGAGAAUUCAGAGUACCUAAAAUUUGUCAUUCUUCUUCCCAGGUCCCCAAAGACACAUGUGACUCACACCCUAACCCUGAAGGAGCUGUCACCCUGAAGUGCUGGGCCCUGGGUUUCUGCCCUAAGGAUAUCACUCUGAUCUGGCAGCAGGAUGGGGAGGAUCAGACCCAGGACAUGGGGCCUGUAGAGACCAGGCCUGCAGGAGAUGGAAGCUUCCAGAAGUGGGCAGCUGUGGUGGUGCCUUCAGGAUGGGGGCAGAAAUUCACAUAUCUUGUGCAGCAUGAGGGGUUGCCCGAACCCCUCCCUGAGAUGGGGUCAGGAGGGGAUGAGGGCACAGAGCUUAUUUUCAUGAAAAGCAGGAGCCAUUCUGGAGCCUCUUUGUAGGUCAGGGCUGAAAGCUGGGGGUCAGAGCUCCUCACCUUCCCCUCUGUUGGCUUCACAGAGCCACCUCCUCAGCCCUCCGUCUCCAUCAAGGGAAUCAUUGUUGUCCUGGUUCUGGUUCUUUUUGUAGCUGUGGACAUUGGAGUUGUGGUGGUUGUUGUGAUGAAGUGGAGGAAGAAGCAGGUAGAGGAGGAGCUGAGUCUGAAUUUUCUUAUUUCAGGCCCCAGGUAGAAGUGUGUCCUGCCUCAUUAAUAGGAAGUACCACCCACACAUACAUGUUUAUACAGCCUGGGGCUGUUUGCUGAAAUCCUAUCAUAAAGCACAUGAAAAAUAAAAGACAGAUUUUGCACCCUGAUGAUCUUUGUGAUGGGGGCCUGAUUCCUAGCAGUCAGAGGCCAGAAGGGAAGGUCUCUGCUGAGGGCAAACCUCUGGGAGAGCAGUUGGUUCAGUGCCUGUAAUCUCCUUUCCCCAUGCCUCCUAGUCAUUUCCUGGGUCUGAAGUCAUGUUCUGGAACAUCCUUUGAGUGUUAGUACUAGGGGCUUCCUAAAGGGCCUUCAUGGCCCUCCUCCUUGCUGGCCUCUCACAAAUUGUUUUCUUCUCACAGGUAGAAAAAAGGGAGGAGCUAUGCUGAGGCUCCAAGUAAGUAUGGCAAAAAGGAUGACCCUUAGGAUUGCAUAGGCAGAAGUCCAUGUGGAAUAUCACCCAUCCCAUAAUUCUUCCUUCAGCCAGUUCUCUUUUGCCCUCUGAAUAUAUCUAGUUGUUUUUCUGUUCCAGGGAGGGACGGUUUCC